GCUUAACACAUGCAAGUCGAGCGGGCAUAGCAAUAUGUCAGCGGCAGACGGGUGAGUAACGCGUGGGAACGUACCUUUUGGUUCGGAACAACACAGGGAAACUUGUGCUAAUACCGGAUAAGCCCUUACGGGGAAAGAUUUAUCGCCGAAAGAUCGGCCCGCGUCUGAUUAGCUAGUUGGUGAGGUAAUGGCUCACCAAGGCGACGAUCAGUAGCUGGUCUGAGAGGAUGAUCAGCCACAUUGGGACUGAGACACGGCCCAAACUCCUACGGGAGGCAGCAGUGGGGAAUAUUGGACAAUGGGCGCAAGCCUGAUCCAGCCAUGCCGCGUGAGUGAUGAAGGCCCUAGGGUUGUAAAGCUCUUUUGUGCGGGAAGAUAAUGACGGUACCGCAAGAAUAAGCCCCGGCUAACUUCGUGCCAGCAGCCGCGGUAAUACGAAGGGGGCUAGCGUUGCUCGGAAUCACUGGGCGUAAAGGGUGCGUAGGCGGGUCUUUAAGUC
RNAcentral lists this ribosomal RNA (499 nucleotides) under uncultured Bradyrhizobium sp. RNAcentral's name for it is "bacterial SSU rRNA". It matches the Rfam family "Bacterial small subunit ribosomal RNA", at positions 46 to 589 of the family's 1533-position model. The record is from RNAcentral. Lineage: Bacteria; Pseudomonadati; Pseudomonadota; Alphaproteobacteria; Hyphomicrobiales; Nitrobacteraceae.